CCAGCGUAAGGCUGCGAGGAAGGUGGGGAUGACGUCAAAUCAGCACGGCCCUUACGUCCAGGGCUACACACGUGUUACAAUGGCCGGUACAGAGGGCAGCCACCCCGCGAGGGGGCGCGAAUCCGAAAGCCGGUCCCAGUUCGGAUCGGAGUCUGCAACCCCGACUCCGUGAAGCUGGGAUUCGCUAGUAAUCGCGCAUCAGCCACGGCGCGGUGAAUACGUUCCCGGGCCUU
This 233-nucleotide ribosomal RNA is filed under the name uncultured Rikenellaceae bacterium. Its description in RNAcentral is "partial 16S ribosomal RNA". It matches the Rfam family "Bacterial small subunit ribosomal RNA", at positions 1152 to 1382 of the family's 1533-position model. The record is from RNAcentral. Lineage: Bacteria; Pseudomonadati; Bacteroidota; Bacteroidia; Bacteroidales; Rikenellaceae.